GGAAAGUGCUCACAUACAAAUUAAGAAGUUCAGCUCUGUCUCAGGAGAUGGGGUGUCGGUGUCCCUGGUCGACAAGAACAGACGUCUCCUCGUCAUCAGUGGACUCUUGGCUAAGUGGUGUCGUCAUCAGCAUCUCCCCGCUGUGGGAGUCCAUCCAUCCUAAGUCAGCAGCAGAGCGUGCCUGGGGCGUGAGCAGUUGGAGGGACCGACCAGUGGAGUGUGCGUGUCGGAAGGCAGUCUACAUGAGUGGCUACCACACUGGCUACUAUAUGGGUUUCAGACAAAAUAAAAAAGAA
Molecule: small RNA, 296 nt
Filed under: Mus musculus (house mouse)
Lineage: Eukaryota; Metazoa; Chordata; Mammalia; Rodentia; Muridae
Source: RNAcentral